CACCCAGAACGGCCAAGCAGAACACCCUGAAAAAGAAGCACCAGACAGCCUGUCACACAGGAGAUGUCACUGCAGAAAUACGCGAUGACAUGUUGGUGAGGUGACAUCACUGCAGGAACACCCGGCACAUUGUCUAAAAUAUCAGUUAGCUCAUCAAGGAAAGCUACUAGGUUAUCUGGUGUGACCUAGCCAUGGCAAACCCAAACCCAAGCUACUCAAGAGGUGGGGAUCACUCCAAAAGGCAACCAAGCUGAGCAGCCUUUUCUGGUCAGCACUGACAGUGCCAGCACCUUAACGACCACCUUGUGCUAUCACCAUCCUUUUGCAGGCAGCUGCAGCAGUCCCCUGAGAAUCCUUGAGGCUAGCUUUGCCCAGGGCAUGAAUGGGGUGAGUGAGGAACAGACUCCUUCCCCCCAUACCUUGAUGAGCAGGGCAAGCCCAGUCUGUGCAUGCAAACAGUAUUUCCUUGUGGGCACUCCCACAUAUGCUCAUCAGGGGGGUGAUCAGACGAGGACAACACUUUUCAAGUGGCCAAGGAAAGCAGGCAUCUGCUCAUGACAUGGGGCAUGCAGUGCAAUCUGUUCUCCAACUCACCAUUUCAGCCAUGGCCAGGACUUCCGGAAGCACUGCUGACAAGGGCUGAAGAGCCUCACCAGCUUUGCCCCAUAGUGCUUCUGAAUGAAGUCAUAGCCCACAAAGAAGACAACAAUGCAGGUGAUGACCACUAAGGCAAGGGCACGCUGGAAGUUCAGGCAACAGGCCGCAAUGAAGUAGCACAGAUAUGCCCCACCUGCAACACAAACCUGGGCAUCAGCCAAGAGGCAGCACAGCCAGGCACCUUGUGAAGGAAGAAACUUCUCUCUGACUCCACAGCUGAGAGGGGAGAGUCUUUUGCUUCCCUAGAGCAGGGAAGCCCUGAGGGUCUUCCUUGUCCUGUAUGCAAGGCAGAGCAGCCCUCAGGCCUCCAGUCCAACAGCUGGGACAGAAAAGUACAAAGGAGGAGUGUCCAGAGGUGCUCGGGAUGUUGUACCUGUGGGAAGAGGAGCCAUGAAUCCCUUUACUCUUCAAGGCCUAAGAUAAGCACUCCAAAUGUGUUCCUAUGCCAUUAAAAUUAAUGAAUGUGCCUCAGAGGCACUGGGCUCAUUAUCUCCCUUGUUCUUCCCCACGUACAGAAAAGGAGCCUUUGCUUACUUCUAACCCUAACAAGUGAAAGAGUCUUGAAUUACCUCCUUGUUUCCAACUAAACCCUGUAUUUCUACCUGUCCCUGAUUUUCCUUACAGACCAUUGGGAGACAAAUGGCCCUGCAGUAAUUUUUAGGCACAGUGAGCCCUUCUCUAUGAGAUGAAAUGCCCUGACCCUUACUUCCUAAGCUGUAUCCCCUGAUAAAAACAGCAUUCAGCUUGAGAUAGAGUUAAGAGCACAAAGCAGUACAGGGAUUACCCCAAAACAAGUGCUUUAAAGCCCAAAAUUUCAGAGCUAAGCUUAAACGUGAAAGAAAUCCAAGCAUGCUAGAAUGUGGAAAAACACAGUUGAGGCUCCUGAACAACCUUAUCACUGACCUAUAGUCAAGCCAUAGCAUAACAAUGCCAUUAGGAUUAGUACAGAAUGCUGUUUACGGCCCCAAAUUGGAUUAAACCAAUGUCUUAAAAGCACGUUAGAGUGUGCAUUUUAUGUCCUUCAUGGUGUUACUACAAAAGGUGGGUUGGGAGCCUUAAUUUGCCUUUUAUCAAGGAUCUAGAAGGAAAUAUAAAGUUACUGCUGAUAAAAAUGACAGAUAACAGAAAAAUUGGUAGAGUGAAAAAUAUUGAUCAGGAGGCAUUAUGGAUAAAGUGUAGCAGUCUGGAUUUCUCAGGAAGGUGGGCCUCUUUGAACAACAUGCAUUUUAAUACAGACAAAUGCCAGGUCAGAGAACUAGGAGCACAGCAGGUAGAUCACAUUGGUUGGAUGAGAAAUGCUACAAUAGUGAAAAAGAAGGAAGGAUGUAACAAGAAGGCAUGGGUCCACAUCAAUGCAUGAAUGUCACUUUGUUGAGUAGCUUCCAUUUUUAAUCUUGAGCUGAGCACAGGGCUACUCACCAGAGGCAGACCACUGCCCUGCCCAAAAGAGUAUGUGUGACCCCUUUGGCACCUACAAGCCAUCACAGAGUAUUUUGGAGCUGACGACUUCAAAUGCUGAUUCUACUCUGUGGCCCAACAGGUUUUCCACAUUGCAUGGCUAGUGGGUCUGCAGCUCCUCAGCCUGGGCACACGGCAAAAGGAGAGAGACUGAGUUAAAAAAAGUGUUGGCUCUAAGGAUCAGGGGACAGACCAUUGUCCCAAUGGCUAGCCCAGUGUCUAGAAAGAAGAACCCCUCUGGUCUCUGUGCCAUGCAUUCUCACUAGUGGUGUGCGGGGGACAACAGCCUACAACUGCUACUGGUUCCUGGAAUUACUGCUGUACCUUGUCGCUGCACUUUUGGAGUUAACAAUGCAGGCUUGAGGCAGUCACUGAGUCGUCACACCUUGGAUGUGGUGCAGUUCACCAGCCUCUGAAGGGAAGCUGUGAGUAUGAGAACCUAAGUAGUUAUGUGCAUCUCUUGCUCAUGGAGUGGAUGCUGGAGAUCAACAUGAUGCUCCACAGCUUCCAGAACAGUAAGACUCCUGGGGCGGAUGCCUUGCCCAGAGUUCAUGUUGCUUUCUGGGACCAGGUGGGCCUGGACCUGCCGGAGGUCUAUAGGGAGCACUGGCAGGAGGGCCACCUCGGAGCAGGGAUGGAGGAAGGCCUCAUAACCCUUCUGUACAAGAAGGGGGAGAGGCGGGACUUGAGCAACUGGUUCCCGAUUACACUCCUGAACUUUGAUUACAAACUAAUAGCCAAAGUCUUGGGUGAGUGUUUUAAGUCUGUUAUAGGUGCAGCGAUCCACGAAGACCAGGCAUAUGACUGAUCCACAAUGCCCUGAUGCAGCUGCGUGAUGCCCUACAGUACCAGCAGGAGAGGGGACAGAACGUCGCCAUGCUGAACUUGGACUUGGAGAAGGCCUAUGACCAGGGAAAGAACAGGCCAGAGAGAUGCUUGGAUCCAGUUCCAAAUGGAAACUAGCAGCUGUGGCUAAUUAGAAUGACCAAAUUACCCAUCAAGUCCAGUGGGUGUCAGUGUCAAUGACAGUUUUCAAAACGGGCAGAAGUGCUUUCCGCAUGCCCUCAUCCAUGUGUGUAUGGCUGUGUUCUGGCUCUCUUGGUGCCUUUGUGUAUGUAUGCGUGUUCUUUUUGUGCAUUUAUAAAUUCAUGCGUGCUCACAUCAAUAAACUGUGCCUACCACAUUAUGGGUUUUACUGAAACAAAUGUAUACUUCAGUUAACUUACAUUAUCUUUGCAUUUGCUGUUUUUCCAAGCAUUAAAUUAGUUUAUCUUUAAUUCAGUAUAUCCCAGUUUGGAGAGGUUUAAUUCUAGGAGUAUUUUGUGUCCAAAGCACAAGUCGCAGCCGGUCAAUGUUAACUGUGCAUUAGCAAAGUUUUAAGGCUGUGAUGUAUGGAGAGAAGGAUUCUCUGGAUUGUUUGGGGAAGUAUCAGGAUCAUGGCACCAAAAGCUCAGUGCAAAUAACAUUGGAUUGAUGGAGGAAGUUAUCUUUAUUCAAAAUGCUUAAUAUGAAUGUCUGGAUGCUUUAGCUUGCUCCAUCAUAUUGUGCACAGGUGUUUAACUAAAAUAUCUGCUCAACAACGUGAAGAAAAGUGCUCACUGUUAGAGUGUCAUACCUCUGUCACUUUUACUUAAGUGCUAUGAAAGCUUCCCACUCACAUCUCUGACUCAUAAAGAUAUCACUCCCCAGCAUGAUAUUUUUAAAUUAAAGGGGAAAC
Molecule: long non-coding RNA, 3832 nt
Organism: Alligator sinensis (Chinese alligator)
Lineage: Eukaryota; Metazoa; Chordata; Crocodylia; Alligatoridae
Exons: 4
Source: RefSeq, a predicted model, not a curated record